This 445-nucleotide ribosomal RNA is filed under the name uncultured bacterium. RNAcentral describes it as "SSU rRNA". It matches the Rfam family "Bacterial small subunit ribosomal RNA", at positions 26 to 518 of the family's 1533-position model. The record is from RNAcentral.
AGAGCGAACGCUGGCGGCAGGCCUAACACAUGCAAGUCGAGCGCCCCGCAAGGGGAGCGGCAGACGGGAGAGUAACACGUGGGAACGUACCUUUCGGUUCGGAACAACCCAGGGAAACUUGGGCUAAUACCGGAUACGUCCGUAAGGAGAAAGAUUUAUCGCCGAAAGAUCGGCCCGCGUCUGAUUAGCUAGUUGGUGAGGUAACGGCUCACCAAGGCGACGAUCAGUAGCUGGUCUGAGAGGAUGAUCAGCCUCACUGGGACUGAGACACGGCCCAGACUCCUACGGGAGGCAGCAGUGGGGAAUAUUGGACAAUGGGCGCAAGCCUGAUCCAGCCAUGCCGCGUGGGUGAUGAAGGCCCUAGGGUUGUAAAGCCCUUUCGGGCGGGGAAGAUAAUGACGGUACCCGCAGAAGAAGCCCCGGCUAACUUCGUGCCAGCAGCCGC